Molecule: ribosomal RNA, 497 nt
Filed under: uncultured bacterium
Lineage: Bacteria
Description: partial 16S ribosomal RNA
Rfam family: Bacterial small subunit ribosomal RNA
Source: RNAcentral
GACGAACGCUGGCGGCGUGCCUAAUACAUGCAAGUUGAGCGCUGAAGGUUGGUACUUGUACCCACUGGAUGAGCAGCGAACGGGUGAGUAACGCGUGGGGAAUCUGCCUUUGAGCGGGGGACAACAUUUGGAAACGAAUGCUAAUACCGCAUAAAAACUUUAAACACAAGUUUUAAGUUUGAAAGAUGCAAUUGCAUCACUCAAAGAUGAUCCCGCGUUGUAUUAGCUAGUUGGUGAGGUAAAGGCUCACCAAGGCGAUGAUACAUAGCCGACCUGAGAGGGUGAUCGACCACAUUGGGACUGGGACAAGGCCCAAACUCCUACGGGAGGCCACAGUAGGGAAUCUUCGGACAUGGACGAAAGUCUGACCGAGCAACGCCGGGUGAGUGAAGAAGGUUUUCGGAUCGUAAAACUCUGUUGGUAGAGAAGGACGUUGGGGAGAGUGGAAAGCUCAUCAAGUGACGGUAACUACCCAGAAAGGGACGGCUAACUACGUG